GUGCUUGCUUUGGCAGCACAAACACUAAAAUUGGAAUGAUAUAGAGAAGAUUAGCAUGGCCCCUGUACAAGGAUGAAGUGCAAAUUUGUGAAGUGUUCCAUAUUUUU
Ictidomys tridecemlineatus (thirteen-lined ground squirrel) is the source of this 107-nucleotide small nuclear RNA. Lineage: Eukaryota; Metazoa; Chordata; Mammalia; Rodentia; Sciuridae. The record is from Ensembl.